UCGCGUUCAAUGCGGAACAUAGGAAUGCCCAAGGUGCUGUGUGGCAUGAGUUCUGGAAACGUUACAAGUUGCCUGAAGAUGGAAGUAUGAACGAUCGUGCACGGAUCGUUUUUAACAAGAGCGCGACUACCUUGGUUAGGGAUCAGAUGUAUUAUGCUCGGAUCCAGGUCACUUCUGAUUACAUAUUAAGGCAGGAAGGACGUCGACCACGUUCCAAAAGUGAGGCAUCAAACAAAUACUUAACCGAAGAAGAAUAUCUUGAGUUUUCAGACUCGGUGCCAUGGAUGGCAUCAAAUGAGGCUGGUUGGCGGGCUGUAUGCAAAUAUUGGGCAACAGAUGGAUUUAAAGGUGUUUCAAUGAGAAACAACUCAAAUCGUGGGCA
This is a long non-coding RNA of Zea mays, 382 nucleotides long. RefSeq lists it as uncharacterized. NCBI's taxonomy places the organism in Eukaryota, Viridiplantae, Streptophyta, Magnoliopsida, Poales, Poaceae. The transcript has 3 exons. The record is from RefSeq and is a predicted model, not a curated record.